Erinaceus europaeus (western European hedgehog) is the source of this 533-nucleotide long non-coding RNA. RefSeq lists it as uncharacterized. The transcript has 2 exons. NCBI's taxonomy places the organism in Eukaryota, Metazoa, Chordata, Mammalia, Eulipotyphla, Erinaceidae. The record is from RefSeq and is a predicted model, not a curated record.
UAUGACCUCAUCCUCAGAAUGUUAGGCAUUGUUUCCAUGGGAACUGGCAGACCCAAAGCAGCCCUGAGGUGUCUAUUCCAAGGUAACAGACACCAUUCUCCUCACUGCAACGCCUCACCAGGCUGUCCUCACUCAUGUUUCUGGGCUGGUGCACCUCUCCACUCCUGGGAGGCCUAGGUGGGUGCCUUCCUCCAUGAGGCCCAGCCCACCAAUUUCAGGAGACACCUGAAAUCCAGGCCCCCCACCUGGGACCCAUCACCUUCAAACUCCUAGGACCCAGCCCCAACAAUAGGAGACUUGUGGGGCUCAACCCUCCACCUAGAGCCCCAACCCUGUCAAGCUCUGGAGACCUGAAUCUCCUUGAAACCUAGUCUUCAAUCAUGUGACUUCUGGGACCCCAGCCCCUAUGAUUUGAAAAGACCAAGAAUCUCCCUAAUUGGAGACCUUUGGAAGACACACGUCCUGAUCCCUCCACCUUAUCACCUGAGUUUGAAUCCGGAUGAGCAGGUAAAAGACCUCACUUACCCUCAUCA